AUGCAGAAAACUGAAACUGGACAUCUUCCUUAUACCUUAUACAAAAAAAUAACGCAAGAUGGAAUAAAGACUUAAACAUAACACCUAAAACCAUAAAAACCCUGGAAGAAAACCUAGGCAAUACCAUCUACUCCUAUUUAAUAUAGUACUGAAGGUUCUAGUUAGUUAAAACAAUAAGGCAAGUAAAAUAAUAAAAGAUAUUCCAAUUUUUAAAAAAGUAAAAUUUUCUGUUCG
RNAcentral lists this long non-coding RNA (234 nucleotides) under Pan troglodytes (chimpanzee). Its description in RNAcentral is "long non-coding RNA NONPTRT018020". Lineage: Eukaryota; Metazoa; Chordata; Mammalia; Primates; Hominidae. The record is from RNAcentral.